CAGAGUUCAUGCCCUCCAUGGGUAGAUCUCCCACCCUUGCGUAUUCAUACCUUUGUUGCUUUGGCAGGCGCACGCCAGCCAGAGGAUCUCCAAACUCCGGUUGUUAGUGUCGUCUGAGUAUCAUGCAAUCGUUA
RNAcentral lists this unclassified non-coding RNA (134 nucleotides) under uncultured Helotiales. RNAcentral describes it as "sequence contains ITS1". Lineage: Eukaryota; Fungi; Ascomycota; Leotiomycetes; Helotiales. The record is from RNAcentral.